GAUGAACGCUGGCGGCGUGCCUAAUACAUGCAAGUAGAACGCUGAAGGAGGAGCUUGCUCUUCUGGAUGAGUUGCGAACGGGUGAGUAACGCGUAGGUAACCUGCCUGGUAGCGGGGGAUAACUAUUGGAAACGAUAGCUAAUACCGCAUGACAACAGUUAUUGCAUGAUAACUGUUUAAAAGGGGCAACUGCUCCACUACCAGAUGGACCUGCGUUGUAUUAGCUAGUUGGUGAGGUAACGGCUCACCAAGGCGACGAUACAUAGCCGACCUGAGAGGGUGAUCGGCCACACUGGGACUGAGACACGGCCCAGACUCCUACGGGAGGCAGCAGUAGGGAAUCUUCGGCAAUGGACGGAAGUCUGACCGAGCAACGCCGCGUGAGUGAAGAAGGUUUUCGGAUCGUAAAGCUCUGUUGUAAGAGAAGAACGAGUGUGAGAGUGGAAAGUUCACACUGUGACGGUACCUUACCAGAAAGGGACGGCUAACUACGUG
This 495-nucleotide ribosomal RNA is filed under the name uncultured bacterium. RNAcentral describes it as "partial 16S ribosomal RNA". It matches the Rfam family "Bacterial small subunit ribosomal RNA", at positions 28 to 507 of the family's 1533-position model. The record is from RNAcentral.